GCCGGCGACCGGCGCACGGGUGAGUAACGCGUAUGCAACUUGCCUAUCAGAGGGGGAUAACCCGGCGAAAGUCGGACUAAUACCGCAUGAAGCAGGGAUCCCGCAUGGGAAUAUUUGCUAAAGAUUCAUCGCUGAUAGAUAGGCAUGCGUUCCAUUAGGCAGUUGGCGGGGUAACGGCCCACCAAACCGACGAUGGAUAGGGGUUCUGAGAGGAAGGUCCCCCACAUUGGUACUGAGACACGGACCAAACUCCUACGGGAGGCAGCAGUGAGGAAUAUUGGUCAAUGGCCGAGAGGCUGAACCAGCCAAGUCGCGUGAGGGAUGAAGGUUCUAUGGAUCGUAAACCUCUUUUAUAAGGGAAUAAAGUGCGGGACGUGUCCCGUUUUGUAUGUACCUUAUGAAUAAGGAUCGGCUAACUCCGUGCCAGCAGCCGCGGUAAUACGGAGGAUCCGAGCGUUAUCCGGAUUUAUUGGGUUUAAAGGGUGCGUAGGCGGCCCCUUAAGUCAGCGGUGAAAGUCUGUGGCUCAACCAUAGAAUUGCCGUUGAAACUGGGAGGCUUGAGUAUGUUUGAGGCAGGUGGAAUGCGUGGUGUAGCGGUGAAAUGCAUAGAUAUCACGCAGAACCCCGAUUGCGAAGGCAGC
This 641-nucleotide ribosomal RNA is filed under the name uncultured Bacteroidales bacterium. Its description in RNAcentral is "bacterial SSU rRNA". It matches the Rfam family "Bacterial small subunit ribosomal RNA", at positions 87 to 725 of the family's 1533-position model. Lineage: Bacteria; Pseudomonadati; Bacteroidota; Bacteroidia; Bacteroidales. The record is from RNAcentral.